This is a small nucleolar RNA of Brassica oleracea var. oleracea, 108 nucleotides long. It matches the Rfam family "Small nucleolar RNA snoR97". The record is from Rfam. Lineage: Eukaryota; Viridiplantae; Streptophyta; Magnoliopsida; Brassicales; Brassicaceae.
CUUUUAUAUAGUGCAUGUAGUCUGAAAAAACUCAUAAAUUGCUAGUGCUCUCAUCAGCUUCGUCUCUCUCUAAUUAUGAGACUGGAGUUAAACAAGAACUCUACAUUG